Molecule: long non-coding RNA, 2018 nt
Filed under: Ananas comosus (pineapple)
Lineage: Eukaryota; Viridiplantae; Streptophyta; Magnoliopsida; Poales; Bromeliaceae
Description: long non-coding RNA (ACOM_LNC019240)
Source: RNAcentral
AUAUAUAUAUAUAUAUAUAUAUAUAUAUAUAUAUAUAUAUAGAGAGAGAGAGAGAGAGAGAGAGAGAGAGAGAGAGAGAGAGAGAGUGAGUAAGGCUACCAUGCUUUUGGAAGCACGGAGUCUUCCGUGCUUUCAGGUUAUUUUUGAUGUUGCGACUUUUGAAUCGUCGAUCGGCUCCAUUAAACUUGAUCUAGAGUAUUUGAAGUACCUAGAAAAUAAAUUUUAUGAUUUUUUGAUAUCAUUUGCCUAGUGAUCGAAGGGGCUCAAAAUCAAUAAUUUUAAUGGCCGUAGUAAGCCAUUUGCAAGUUUAACGGUGUAAAAAUAUCUAAAUCAUGUGAAAUUUUGAUAGAAAAUUUUUUAUACUAUAUAAAACAAGAUCAAUAUUUUUGAUCUAAAAUUUUAAUGUCAUAUUAUCACGUUUUGUAAGAUUUUUAUUUUCAGCCAUUGAUUUUGAGCCCCUUUAUUCACUAGGCAAAUAAUAUCGAAAAAUCGCAUAAUUUAUUUUCUAGAUAUUUCAAAUACUCUAGAUCAAGUUUAACGGAGCCGAUCAACGAUUCGAAAAUCGCAACAUAGAAAACGAUCUGGAAGCACGAAAGGCUCCGUGCUUCCAGAAGCAUAGUAGCCUCAGUCUAUAUAUAUAUAUAUAUAUAUAUAUAUAUAUAGAGAGAGAGAGAGAGAGAGAGAGAGAGAGAGAAUACUAUCAAUAACAAACGAGCUCCAUUGCCACCCAUUUGUUUUCGUUGAUAGAGCCUCCAAAUCGACGAUCGGCACAGUUGAACAUGAUCUAUACCACUUGAAGUGUUUAGAAAUCAAAUUUCAAAUCUAUUCGACAUCAUUUGCCUAAUGAUUAAAAGGUUACAAAAUUUGUAAUUUUAAUGGUCGAUAUGAGGCGUUUUCUCGUUUAACGGCAUAAAGAUAUACAAAUCAAUUAAAUUUUUGUUAAAAAAUUCUUUAAACUAUUUAAAACAAAAUCUAUACUCUUGAUCUUGACUACAAGACUCCUAUCAUCAUUUUUUAAAGAAUAUUUGUUUUUAGUCGUUCAUUUUUAUGUCCACUCGAUGGAUAAGAGAAGAAUAUCGAAAUGUAUGAAAUUUGAUUUCUAAAUACUUCAAGUGGUAUAGAUCAUGUUCAACGGUGUCGAUCGUCGAUUUGGAAAUUCCAUCAUCGAAAAUAAAUGGGUGGCAACGGAGCCCGUUGGCUACCGAUAGUAUUCUAGCUCAACUCUCUCUCUCUAUAUAUACUGGUUCCUUGUAAUCUAUCUCCAAAAUUUUGUUUCUUGCCACAGAGCUCUCAUACAGCACAAACCAAUUUGAAUCAUUUGAACGAUUUAUUUUAGAUAAAGAUGUACGGAACUUACUUGAAUUUCGGACCAUUUUGAGUUAGUUACAAUUUUUCAAUAUUUUGAUUUUACCAUUGAACCUUUCACUUUAUUUAAUUUGANAGAGAGAGAGAGAGUUGAGGUAGAAUACUAUCAAUAACAAACGGGCUCCAUUGCCACCCAUUUGUUUUCGUUGAUAGAGCCUCCAAAUCGACGAUCGGCACAGUUGAACAUGAUCUAUACCACUUGAAGUGUUUAGAAAUCAAAUUUUAAAUCUUUUCGACAUCAUUUGCCUAAUGAUAAAAAUGUUUCAAAAUUGAUAAUUUUAAGGGUUGAUAUGAGGUGUUUUCUCGUUUAACGGCGUAAAGAUAUACAAAUCAAUUGAAUUUUUGUUAGAAAAUUCUUUAAACUAUUUAAAACCAGAUCUAUACUCUUGAUCUUGACUACAAGACUCCUAUCAUCAUUUUUUAAAGAAUAUUUAUUUUUAGUCGUUUAUUUUUAUGUCCACUCAAUGGAUAAGAGAAAAAUAUCGAAAAUGUAUGAAAUUUGAUUUCUAAAUACUUCAAGUGGUAUAGAUCAUAUUCAACGGUGUCGAUCAUCGAUUUGGAGAUUCCGUCAUCGAAAAUAAAUGGGUGGCAACGAAGCUCGUUAGCUACCGAUAGUAUUCUAGCUCAACUCUCUCUCUCUCUAUAUAGUGGUU